This 517-nucleotide long non-coding RNA is filed under the name Capra hircus (goat). RNAcentral describes it as "lncRNA (ENSCHIG00000001523.1)". The record is from RNAcentral. Lineage: Eukaryota; Metazoa; Chordata; Mammalia; Artiodactyla; Bovidae.
GCAUAGCAGUUUAUACUUUACAAAGAGAUUUCACAAGUGUUUAUCUGUAAAAAUUCUGUGAAGUAGACAGGAAGAAUUAUCUUUUUUCUUUAAUAGAUAAAGAAAUAAAUCGACUUGCCCCUAAUCAGACCUUAUACGUGGGAGAAUCCAGGUCCUCUGGUUACACACUUGCCAGCAUGCCUCACUCCAAUGGGGAAAAAGAAUUGCUACCGAGCUCUUCAGACUCACAGCAAAAGAGAACUUGAAAUCCACAGCAAGGAUGUACUGGCAGGAGGCAGAAGGCAACCAGCCUGCCUUCCAUCUCAUCGCCACCUCCCACAGCCAAGUCUAUGGGAAAUGCUCACUGUCCUCCAGCCCAGGAGAACUUUUGUCCCUGCCUGCCAUAUCUUUUUUGGAGAGAGAGGCAAAACAAGUACUCUACACACCAUCACGAAUUUCAAAUGGUAAAAACAUCAUCUCAUUGAUUGUCUUUACAGAGCGUGCUACUGCGAUUGCUUCAUUGAAACUGAUAGAAGGG